AGAGAGCAACAUGUACUGACAUUUGAAGAACAGGUGGAGAAAGAACAUCCAACACAUGAUGUUGAACACUUUGUGGAGGAAGAAGAACAUCAUAUCCUGGUUGUUGAAGAAAUUGUGGAGGAAGAAAAACAUCAUGUCAUGGUGUUCAAGAAAUUGUGGAGAAGGGAGUGCAACAUGAGUUGGCUAUUGAACAACAACUAGCAAAUGUUGUUUUGAACUCGGAUGAAGGAGAAGCAAUCUGAGGGCAAUAGGGAAAGAUAAAAAGGGUUGUCCCAUUUAUCACUGGGAUGUUGAUUACCAGGUUUGUGUUCACUAUCAUGUUUUUGUAUUUCAAUUUAAUGUGGGUACAGAUAAAAUCAUACCUUUUAGGGGUCAUUUGUUACACAUGAUUGACUUGGAUUGGCUUGGACUAAAUUUAGUAUAAUGUUUGUUUCAUCUAAUCCUAGUUUUAAAUGGGAUUGUUAAUAUUGGGCCCACCAAAAACACCUCCUUAGGAGGGUACUAAUAAACCCAUGUGAAAGGGAAGAAUUAACUAGUCUCAUGCUCACCAAUGUAUAACAUCAAUAUAUUAUAUUGUAAUAAUAAUAACAUAUAUUAUUAUUAUAAUAUGGGUGGUGAUUUUCCCACUCCCCUUUUAUCAAUUUACACUCCCUUUUGUUUUUUAAUAUUUUUUACUAUAAGAUAAAAUGGAGUGUAAGUGAACAAAAGAGGAGUGAGAACAUACAAUUUUUAAAAAAUAGAGUGUAAGUGGAUACAAAGGGAGUGGGAA
Molecule: long non-coding RNA, 769 nt
Filed under: Prunus persica (peach)
Lineage: Eukaryota; Viridiplantae; Streptophyta; Magnoliopsida; Rosales; Rosaceae
Description: long non-coding RNA (PPER_LNC004825)
Source: RNAcentral